GGCACAGGUGGCCGGGGGCGCGCCGGGCCCACCCGGCCGAAAACAGGGAGCAGGGAAAGGGCUCCAGGACGGAUCCCAUACGGAGCACAAGGGCCCCGCUCCCAGAGGAGCCAAGAACUUCGGGCAACAUUUCUGAGGUAAAAAAAUGCAGAUUUGGGGGUCUGGAGUAGAUUUCGGGGUGGAAAAGGCAGAUUUUGGGGUGAAAAAGGCAGAUUUUUGGGGAGAAUCCUGAGGGAAAAGGAGCCAGUUUUGGGCCCCUCAAAAAGUCUGAUUUGGGGCUCUGGGGCAGAUUUUCAGGUUGAAGAGGAAGAUUUUGGGGGGUGAGGGGAAAUCCCGAGGGAAAGUCAAGUUUUGAGGAAAAAAAAAAAACCCAACCCAACAGAUUUUGGUGUGGAAAAGGCAGAUUUCAGGGGGUGGGAGGAAAUCCUGAGGGAAAAGGAGCAGAUUUUGAGGUGGAAUAUGCAGAUUUGGGGGUGAUAAGACAAAUAUUAGAGGUG
Long non-coding RNA from Corapipo altera (White-ruffed manakin), 497 nucleotides. RefSeq lists it as uncharacterized. The transcript is spliced from 2 exons. NCBI's taxonomy places the organism in Eukaryota, Metazoa, Chordata, Aves, Passeriformes, Pipridae. The record is from RefSeq and is a predicted model, not a curated record.